GGCAGGGUGGCUCAGUUGGUUAGAGCACCGGAUUCAUAAACCGGAGGUCGUGGGUUCGACUCCCACCCCUGCUA
This 74-nucleotide transfer RNA is filed under the name Patescibacteria group bacterium. Its description in RNAcentral is "tRNA-Met". It matches the Rfam family "tRNA". From Rfam's summary of the family: Transfer RNA (tRNA) molecules are approximately 80 nucleotides in length. Their secondary structure includes four short double-helical elements and three loops (D, anti-codon, and T loops). The record is from RNAcentral.